UGGGGAAUAUUGCACAAUGGGCGAAAGCCUGAUGCAGCGACGCCGCGUGAGGGAAGAAGGUUUUCGGAUUGUAAACCUCUGUCUUUGGGGACGAGAACGGACGGUACCCAAGGAGGAAGCCACGGCUAACUACGUGCCAGCAGCCGCGGUAAUACGUAGGUGGCAAGCGUUGUCCGGAAUUACUGGGUGUAAAGGGAGCGUAGGCGGGAAUGCAAGUUGAAUGUGAAAUUUACGGGCUCAACUCGUGAACUGCGUUCAAAACUGUAUUUCUUGAGUUAAGUAGAGGCAGGCGGAAUUCCCUGUGUAGCGGUGAAAUGCGCAGAUAUAGGGAGGAACACCAGUGGCGAAGGCGGCCUGCUGGGCUUGUACUGACGCUGAGGCUCGAAAGCGUGGGUAGCAA
Molecule: ribosomal RNA, 400 nt
Filed under: uncultured bacterium
Lineage: Bacteria
Description: bacterial SSU rRNA
Rfam family: Bacterial small subunit ribosomal RNA
Source: RNAcentral